UAGUCCACGCCGUAAACGAUGAUAACUAGCUGUCCGAACCCACAGGGUUUGGGUGGCGCAGCUAACGCAUUAAGUUAUCCGCCUGGGGAGUACGGUCGCAAGAUUAAAACUCAAAGGAAUUGACGGGGACCCGCACAAGCGGUGGAGCAUGUUGUUUAAUUCGAAGCAACGCGAAGAACCUUACCUACACUUGACAUACUCGUCGGGACUUUCAGAGAUGAUUGUCUUCGGUUCGGCCGGACGAUGUACAGGUGCUGCACGGCUGUCGUCAGCUCGUGUCGUGAGAUGUUUGGUUAAGUCCAGCAACGAGCGCAACCCCUAUCGUAUGUUACCAGCAUUUAGUUGGGGACUCAUGCGAGACUGCCGGUGUUAAGCCGGAGGAAGGUGGGGACGACGUCAAGUCAUCAUGGCCCUUACGUGUAGGGCUACAAACGUGCUACAAUGGCUACUACAGUGGGCAGCAAGGUCGCGAGGCCAAGCUAAUCCCAAAAAGUAGUCUCAGUUCGGAUAGGACU
RNAcentral lists this ribosomal RNA (515 nucleotides) under uncultured bacterium. Its description in RNAcentral is "bacterial SSU rRNA". It matches the Rfam family "Bacterial small subunit ribosomal RNA", at positions 791 to 1304 of the family's 1533-position model. The record is from RNAcentral.